AUACGGAGGGUGCGAGCGUUAAUCGGAAUUACUGGGCGUAAAGCGUGCGUAGGCGGUUGAUUUAGUCAGAUGUGAAAGCCCCGGGCUCAACCUGGGAACUGCAUUUGAAACUGGUCAACUGGAGUAUGGUAGAGGGGGGUAGAAUUUCUGGUGUAUCGGUGAAAUGCGUAGAUAUCAGAAGGAAUACCGAUGGCGAAGGCAGCCCCCUGGACCAAUACUGACGCUGAGGUACGAAAGCGUGGGGAGCAAACAGGAUUAGAAACCCGGGUAGUCC
This 274-nucleotide ribosomal RNA is filed under the name uncultured bacterium. RNAcentral's name for it is "partial 16S ribosomal RNA". It matches the Rfam family "Bacterial small subunit ribosomal RNA", at positions 523 to 796 of the family's 1533-position model. The record is from RNAcentral.